Molecule: ribosomal RNA, 564 nt
Filed under: uncultured archaeon
Lineage: Archaea
Description: bacterial SSU rRNA
Rfam family: Archaeal small subunit ribosomal RNA
Source: RNAcentral
GUGAUUCGGGGUGCACCAGGCGCGAAAACUUCGCAAUAAGCGAAAGCUUGACGGGGCCAUCCCGAGUGCCAUCUGCUGAGGAUGGCUUUUACCCAGUAUAGAUAGCUGGGGGAAUAAGGAGAGGGCAAGUCUGGUGUCAGCCGCCGCGGUAAUACCAGCUCUCCGAGUUGUGGGGACGUUUAUUGAGCCUGAAGCAUCCGUAGCCGGCUGUGCAAGUCCUCUGUUAAAUCCAGCGAUGAAUCGUUGGUCUGCGGGGGAUACUGCUCGGCUAGGGGGCGGGAGAGGCCGUCGGUAUUCUUGGGGUAGGGGUGAAAUCCUAUAAUCCCAGGAGGACCACCAGUGGCGAAGGCUGUCGGCUAGAACGCGCUCGACGGUGAGGGAUGAAAGCUGGGGGAGCGAACCGGAUUAGAUACCCGGGUAGUCCCAGCUGUAAACGAUGCAGGCUAGGUGUUAGGGCGGCUACGUGCCGCUCUAGUGCCGCAGGGAAGCUGUUAAGCCUGCCGCUUGGGGAGUACGGCCGCAAGGCUGAAACUUAAAGGAAUUGGCGGGGGAGCACAAUCGAAU